RNAcentral lists this ribosomal RNA (118 nucleotides) under Desulfocapsaceae bacterium. RNAcentral's name for it is "partial 16S ribosomal RNA". It matches the Rfam family "Bacterial small subunit ribosomal RNA", at positions 1 to 118 of the family's 1533-position model. The record is from RNAcentral. Lineage: Bacteria; Pseudomonadati; Thermodesulfobacteriota; Desulfobulbia; Desulfobulbales; Desulfocapsaceae.
AAACUGGAGAGUUUGAUCCUGGCUCAGAACGAACGCUGGCGGCGUGCUUAACACAUGCAAGUCGAACGCGAAAGGGACUUCGGUCCUGAGUAGAGUGGCGCACGGGUGAGUAACGCGU